RNAcentral lists this transfer RNA (87 nucleotides) under Mariprofundus ferrooxydans PV-1. It matches the Rfam family "tRNA". From Rfam's summary of the family: Transfer RNA (tRNA) molecules are approximately 80 nucleotides in length. Their secondary structure includes four short double-helical elements and three loops (D, anti-codon, and T loops). Lineage: Bacteria; Pseudomonadati; Pseudomonadota; Candidatius Mariprofundia; Mariprofundales; Mariprofundaceae. The record is from Rfam by way of RNAcentral.
GGAGAGAUGUCUGAGCGGUCGAAGGAGCACGCCUGGAAAGCGUGUGUACGUGAAAGCGUACCGAGGGUUCGAAUCCCUCUCUCUCCG